Molecule: long non-coding RNA, 328 nt
Filed under: Homo sapiens (human)
Lineage: Eukaryota; Metazoa; Chordata; Mammalia; Primates; Hominidae
Description: HSALNT0027661
Source: RNAcentral
AAUUGCAAAUUGUCUGGAAUAGUUAAAUGGUGAGCUAUUCUUAAUACCUUUGGCAAAAACUCUACUUGCAGUAUGAUGACCGGAGACACAGCUGUUGGAGGAAAAAAGUUUAUGUCAAUUAAAAUCCUGAAUUUCUCUGAUCUGGAAAGAAAAACUGCUAUGAACUCUUUAGAAGAUUUGGUUCUUGAAGACAGGAGCUCUGUCUAACUCAGUUAUGUAGAUGCCAACACAAGUGCUGAAGAGGAUGUUACAUGAGAGAAAGAUGGAUUCAUAUGUGGAAAAGCCUUCUAAGGAUAAAGUCUACCAUAUACUGACUUACUUUUGGAGG